AGGAAAAGAAACCAACAGGGAUUGCCUUAGUAGCGGCGAGUGAAGCGGCAAAAGCUCAAAUUUGAAAUCUGGCACUUUCAGUGUCCGAGUUGUAAUUUGAAGAAGGUAUCUUUGGGUCUGGCUCUUGUCUAUGUUUCUUGGAACAGAACGUCACAGAGGGUGAGAAUCCCGUGCGAUGAGAUGUCCCAGACCUAUGUAAAGUUCCUUCGAAGAGGUCGAGUUGUUUGGGAAUGCAGCUCUAAGUGGGUGGUAAAUUCCAUCUAAAGCUAAAUAUUGGCGAGAGACCGAUAGCGAACAAGUACAGUGAUGGAAAGAUGAAAAGAACUUUGAAAAGAGAGUGAAAAAGUACGUGAAAUUGUUGAAAGGGAAGGGCUUGAGAUCAGACUUGGUAUUUUGUAUGUUACUCUCUCGGGGGUGGCCUCUACAGUUUACCGGGCCAGCAUCAGUUUGAGCGGUAGGAUAAGUGCAAAGAAAUGUGGCACUGCUUCGGUAGUGUGUUAUAGUCUUUGUCGAUACUGCCAGCUUAGACUGAGGACUGCGGCUUCGGCCUAGGAUGUUGGCAUAAUGAUCUUAAGUCGCCC
This 581-nucleotide ribosomal RNA is filed under the name Lodderomyces parapsilosis. Its description in RNAcentral is "Candida parapsilosis partial large subunit ribosomal RNA". It matches the Rfam family "Eukaryotic large subunit ribosomal RNA", at positions 54 to 650 of the family's 3401-position model. Lineage: Eukaryota; Fungi; Ascomycota; Pichiomycetes; Serinales; Debaryomycetaceae. The record is from RNAcentral.